RNA transcript from Panicum virgatum (switchgrass), 1798 nucleotides. It is a transcript of the gene named proteasome assembly chaperone 2-like, with no coding region annotated. The record is from RefSeq and is a predicted model, not a curated record. The transcript is spliced from 9 exons. Lineage: Eukaryota; Viridiplantae; Streptophyta; Magnoliopsida; Poales; Poaceae.
CGAGCCGUAGCUCGGGUGGCGGGACCUCCGGGUGUGGAGGCCGCCGGUCACGGUUCGAGCGCGCUCGAACUCGUGAUUUUCCCACCGGGAACAGUAGUUCCCUGUUGUUUAGUCUCCGCUUGGAUGGAUUCCAAGCGUUUGCCUCUCACGCGUGGUGCCACAAAGGGACUGCAACGCACCCGUUUCCGCUUGCUUGGAUUCCAAGCGUUUGCCUCUCACGCGUGGUGCCACAAAGGGACUGCAACGCACCCGUUGCCUACGGAGCUUUGGAGGUUUCCGGUGAUUUCCAGAAGGACGCGGUCUUCAUAUCUGUGUGUAGUUGUAGGUCUGCUUGUACACGUGUGGUGUGAGUGUGGUGUGCGUGUGUAGGGUGGUGCGUGCGUGCGUGUAUAAACAGAUGCUACAGCUGUACCCAGAUGAGAGGCAUAAAAAAAAAAGUCACAGAAGUGGAAGACAGAGAGAUCUUCUUCCUCGUUGCUUUCUUUUUCAACUUCUCGCUCAAGGGCUCAAGGCAGGGAGGGCUUUCAACCGGCAGCCGCCGAGCCCGGGACACUGCGCCUUCGCCCUCCCCCCUCCAGGCUCCAGCCACCACAAUGGAGUCCGCCGUCAUCAAGGGGGAGUCGUUCUCGCCUUCCUGCCCCACGCUCAUCAUGCCAGCGCUGUCGAUUGGAAACGUGGGCCAGCUCGCCGUGGACCUUCUGAUAUCCUCGGCGAGGGCGAGAUGGGUGGCCUACCUCGACGAGCCCUCCGUGCUGCCCUGUGCCGGCAACGAUGCCUUCGGCCCCGAUGCCGUGGGAGACCUCGCGCUCGCUCUGGAAGCUUAUGAAUCUACGUCUCAUGGGCUGGCUUUCAUUCAGCAAAGAUCUCCUGUUAUCACAGGCAUGAUGGUUUCAUUUGCAAAAAAUGUUGCUGAUUUCAUAAGCAAUAUUGGAAAGGACCAUAUUGUUAUUCUUUCAAGUUUAGAUUCUGGCAAGAGGAGGGUAAUUGAUGCUUCGAGUGCCAUGCAGGUAUAUUACCUUUCAAGUUGCAAUGAAGAUGGUUCUGAUCCAGAAUAUGAGAAAUUGGGUUGGAAGAAACUUGAGGAGUAUGAUCCAUCUCAUAAACGUUGGAGUUGUCUUACUGGCCUAGUUGAGGGUGGUGUUUUUUCAGAAGAUAUGGUUGAUGACACUGAUGAGAUGACAAUAAAUGAUUAUUAUGCAAGCUUGCCAUUUGCAGCACUAUUCUAUGCCUGCAGGGCUAAAGGUUUGAAAGUUUCUUGUGUACUGUGCUACUGCUCAGAAGGUGACAACAUGCCAGAAUCUUUCCAGUUAGCUGAGGCUGUAUGUAAACUUCUAGGUCGUGGCCCUGAGAACUUACAUGGAAAUGGGUCGAAUGGAUGGACUGUUCCCUUGUCAUGGAAAUCAGUUUAUGGACCACCACCUGAUAUGUCUAUCUUCUAGUGGUGUGCACUGAUCUGCAGACUACCAAAAUCCAAUCACCAAGGAUAAGGUAGAGGGAUGAAUCCCCAUCAUUUAGGUGAAGUUGCCAUCAUGGAAAAUGCUGAAUUUAGAGUCGAGGAUGUUGAACUCUUACAUGAGGUUGUGUACCAGAAGUAUCCUGGAAGGUGUGUUGUAGGUGUUUUGGUCACGUGAUUAAAAAACUAACUCUUUCCCUGGGAUAAAUCAAUCGGAUACCUUUUAUAACUGAUAGCUGUGGCUGCGAAAAAGUCAGAUCUUUGUCAAUUCAGGUCUGCUAGAGUGGUUACGCUUGUUGCUUACCAUGUGCGAUCUCUAAUCAAAUCAUGGAAUUCCAAGCCUCU